CCUACGGGAGGCAGCAGUGGGGAAUAGUGCACAAUGGGGGAAACCCUGAUGCAGCGACGCCGCGUGAGUGAAGAAGGAUUUCGGUACGUAAAGCUCUAGCAGCAGGGAAGAAAAUGACGGUAACUGACGAAGAAGCCCCGGCGAACUACGUGCCAGCAGCCGCGGUAAUACGUAGGGGGCAAGCGUUAUCCGGAUUUACUGGGUGUAACGGGAGCGUAGACGGCAGCGCAAGUCUGGUGUGAAAUCCCCUGGCUUAACCAUGGAACUGCUUUUGAAACUGUGCAGCUGGAGUGCAGGAGAUGUAAUCGGAAUUCCUAGUGUAGCGGUGAAAUGCGUAGAUAUUAGGAGGAACACCAGUGGCGAAGGCGGCUUCCUUGACUGUAACUACCGUUGAGGCUC
RNAcentral lists this ribosomal RNA (399 nucleotides) under uncultured bacterium. RNAcentral describes it as "partial 16S ribosomal RNA". It matches the Rfam family "Bacterial small subunit ribosomal RNA", at positions 338 to 754 of the family's 1533-position model. The record is from RNAcentral.